GAUGAACGCUGGCUACAGGCUUAACACAUGCAAGUCGUGGGGAAACGGCAUUAUGUGCUUGCACAUUCUGGACGUCGACCGGCGCACGGGUGAGUAUCGCGUAUCCAACCUGCCCCUUACUUGGGGAUACCCCGUCGAAAGACGGCCUAAUACCCGAUGUGUUUCAUUGACGGCAUCCGAUAUGAAACAAAGGUUUUCCGGUAAGGGAUGGGGAUGCGUCUGAUUAGCUUGUUGGCGGGGCAACGGCCCACCAAGGCGACGAUCAGUAGGGGUUCUGAGAGGAAGGUCCCCCACAUUGGAACUGAGACACGGUCCAAACUCCUACGGGAGGCAGCAGUGAGGAAUAUUGGUCAAUGGACGCAAGUCUGAACCAGCCAAGUAGCGUGCAGGAUGACGGCCCUAUGGGUUGUAAACUGCUUUUAUGUGGGAAUAAAGUGGCGCACGUGUGCGCCAUUGCAUGUACCUCA
Molecule: ribosomal RNA, 467 nt
Filed under: Prevotella nigrescens
Lineage: Bacteria; Pseudomonadati; Bacteroidota; Bacteroidia; Bacteroidales; Prevotellaceae
Description: bacterial SSU rRNA
Rfam family: Bacterial small subunit ribosomal RNA
Source: RNAcentral